RNAcentral lists this ribosomal RNA (301 nucleotides) under uncultured bacterium. RNAcentral describes it as "partial 16S ribosomal RNA". It matches the Rfam family "Bacterial small subunit ribosomal RNA", at positions 509 to 807 of the family's 1533-position model. The record is from RNAcentral.
CAGUCGCCGCGGGAAUACGAAGGGUGCAAGCGUUAAUCGGAACUACUGGGCGUAAAGCGUGCGUAGGCGGUGAGUUAAGUCUGCUGUGAAAUCCCCGGGCUCAACCUGGGAAUGGCGAUGGAGACUGCAAGGCUAGAAUCUGGCAGAGGGGGGUAGAAUUCCACGUGUAGCAGUGAAAUGCGUAGAUAUGUGGAGGAACACCGAUGGCGAAGGCAGCCCCCUGGGCUAAGAUUGACGCUCAUGCACGAAAGCGUGGGGAGUAAACAGGAUUAGAGACCCGCGUAGUCCCUGUCUCUUAUAC